This 440-nucleotide ribosomal RNA is filed under the name uncultured bacterium. Its description in RNAcentral is "bacterial SSU rRNA". It matches the Rfam family "Bacterial small subunit ribosomal RNA", at positions 338 to 768 of the family's 1533-position model. The record is from RNAcentral.
CCUACGGGUGGCAGCAGUGGGGAAUCUUGGGCAAUGGCCGAAAGGCUGACCCAGCGACGCCGCGUGUGGGAGGAAGCCCUUCGGGGUGUAAACCACUGUCACCGGGGACGAACUUCCCUGAGGCGAACAGUCUCAGGGGUUGACGGUACCCGGAGAGGAAGCGCCGGCUAACUCUGUGCCAGCAGCCGCGGUAAGACAGAGGGCGCGAGCGUUGUUCGGAAUCACUGGGCGUAAAGCGCGCGCAGGCGGGCACUGCAAGUCUGGAGUGAAAUGUCGGGGCUCAACCCCGGCGCUGCUCCGGAUACUGCGGGUCUGGAGACCGGUAGAGGCCGGUGGAAUUCCCGGUGUAGCGGUGGAAUGCGUAGAGCUCGGGAAGAACACCAGUGGCGAAGGCGGCCGGCUGGGCCGGAUCUGACGCUGAGGCGCGAAAGCGUGGGGAG